UGUUUCCUCUGUUCUCUUUUUCCCUCAGCCUUUCAUUAUCCUAAGCUUAACGUGUCUCAGCUGAUGAAAUCUUCCUGGGUGAGAACAGUUCUCUUGGGUGUCGUCGACCAGCGAAUUCAGGAGGAAGUGUUUCAGGCUGAGAUGGAGCGGAAGCUAGCUCACCUGUUAAACGAGGCUUUGGCCAGAGGGCGGAUAUGGAGACGAGCCAGUUUUGCAGGCAGCAACAUUGUGCAGGAGAUGCCUAGAAAAGGAGAUAGAGUGGUCAUCUGAGUCAAAAAGGUACUUUGCUGGAGCAGCUACUUUGCAGGUCUCUUGUUUUUGUGAAGGUUUAGAAAU
Molecule: non-coding RNA, 336 nt
Organism: Meleagris gallopavo (turkey)
Lineage: Eukaryota; Metazoa; Chordata; Aves; Galliformes; Phasianidae
Source: RefSeq, a predicted model, not a curated record